This 91-nucleotide transfer RNA is filed under the name Candidatus Acidianus copahuensis. RNAcentral describes it as "tRNA-Glu". It matches the Rfam family "tRNA". Rfam says of the family: Transfer RNA (tRNA) molecules are approximately 80 nucleotides in length. Their secondary structure includes four short double-helical elements and three loops (D, anti-codon, and T loops). Lineage: Archaea; Thermoproteati; Thermoproteota; Thermoprotei; Sulfolobales; Sulfolobaceae. The record is from RNAcentral.
GCUCCGGUAGUAUAGCCCGGUCAACGUUGUUCGGCCGAGAGUAUGCGGGCCUCUCAAGCCCGCGGCCCGGGUUCAAAUCCCGGCCGGAGCA